RNAcentral lists this ribosomal RNA (460 nucleotides) under uncultured bacterium. Its description in RNAcentral is "partial 16S ribosomal RNA". It matches the Rfam family "Bacterial small subunit ribosomal RNA", at positions 338 to 795 of the family's 1533-position model. The record is from RNAcentral.
CCUACGGGUGGCAGCAGUGGGGAAUAUUGCUCAAUGGGCGCUACCCUGAACCAGCCACGUCGCGUGAAUGAUGAAUGCCCUAUGGGUUGUAAGCUUCUUUUGUAUGGAAGUAAAUUGCGGUAUGUGUACUACUUUGCAUGUCCCUUAUGAUUACAGCUCGGCUAACUCCGUGCCAGCAGCCGCGGUAAUCCGGAGUAUCCGGGCGUUAUCCGGAUUUAUUGGGUGUAAAGGGUGCGUAGGCGGGUGGUUAAGUCAGUUGUGAAAGGUUGCGGCUUAACCGUAAAAUUGCAGUUGAUACUGGGAGGCUUGAGUGCAGGAGAGGUAGGUGGAAUUCGUGGUGUAGCGGUGAAAUGCUUAGAUAUCACGAGGAACUCCGAUGGCGAAGGCAGCUUGCUGGACUGUAACUGACGCUGAUGCUCGAAAGUGUGGGGAGCAAACAGGAUUAGAUACCCGGGUAGUC